This 239-nucleotide ribosomal RNA is filed under the name Prionotylus brevicornis. Its description in RNAcentral is "partial small subunit ribosomal RNA". The record is from RNAcentral. Lineage: Eukaryota; Metazoa; Arthropoda; Insecta; Hemiptera; Coreidae.
AAAGCUUGUUAGAAAAGACUAAGAUUGAUUCUGUCUUUUACGAAUUAGCUUUAUUUAGAUAAUAUUAAAUAUAAGUUUUUGCGUGGUUAAAAUUUUUUCUUAAGGAUAAAUUGGUUUUAUUUGUAGUUUUUAAUUUUAAUUUUUACGUUAAUGUAGAAUUAGUUAAUUUAUUUUAGGACUGUAACAAGUUGUGCCAGCAUACGCGGUUAUACAUCUGGUUCAAGUUAAUUUUUUUGGUU